RNAcentral lists this ribosomal RNA (253 nucleotides) under uncultured bacterium. Its description in RNAcentral is "partial 16S ribosomal RNA". It matches the Rfam family "Bacterial small subunit ribosomal RNA", at positions 524 to 776 of the family's 1533-position model. The record is from RNAcentral.
UACGUAGGGUGCAAGCGUUGUCCGGAAUUAUUGGGCGUAAAGAGCUCGUAGGCGGUUUGUCGCGUCGGCUGUGAAAACCCGGGGCUCAACCCCGGGCCUGCAGUCGAUACGGGCAAACUAGAGUGCGGUAGGGGAGACUGGAAUUCCUGGUGUAGCGGUGAAAUGCGCAGAUAUCAGGAAGAACACCCGUGGCUAAGGCGGCUCUCUAGUACGGUACUGACGCUGAGACGCGAAAGCGUGGGGAGCGAACAGG